AUCCAGGCUGGAUAGCCCAGUGGGUAGAGCAUGAGACUCUUAAUCUCAGGCUGUGGGUUCAAACCCCACCUUGGGUG
Non-coding RNA from Podarcis lilfordi (Lilford's wall lizard), 77 nucleotides. The record is from the annotation of a GenBank genome assembly. NCBI's taxonomy places the organism in Eukaryota, Metazoa, Chordata, Lepidosauria, Squamata, Lacertidae.